AAGGAGUGUGUGGCCCCCGGGUCAAUUAGAACACGUGCAAGAUAACCAAAGAUUGGAAUCAUACCAGUAAUCACGUCCGGGGUGGCAUGUGCUUCCUGCUGAGUCAUAGAGAACACUCGGCCCUGAGUAGUGGAACGCCCAGGCUGACCCCUUGAUUGCCUACCACUCCUGCCUCUAGAAGAUGACAGUGCCCUACUAUUGGAUGACCCUGCUGCAGAGGAAGAAGCACCACCUUAACUCUGAUUCUGACCCAUACUACCCUGCCCUUGUUGGGCCCCAGUCCUCUGGAUUGCUGCAUCACUUUGGAGUAUAAUUGGGCAGCUUCUCUUAGUAUGCCCCACUUGCCC
Molecule: long non-coding RNA, 347 nt
Filed under: Prunus persica (peach)
Lineage: Eukaryota; Viridiplantae; Streptophyta; Magnoliopsida; Rosales; Rosaceae
Description: long non-coding RNA (PPER_LNC000515)
Source: RNAcentral